GCCUGUCUGGCUCAGUUAGUGGAGCAUGUGACUCUUGAUCUUGGGGCUGUGAGUUUGAGCCCCACGUUAGGUA
This 73-nucleotide transfer RNA is filed under the name Ailuropoda melanoleuca (giant panda). It matches the Rfam family "tRNA". From Rfam's summary of the family: Transfer RNA (tRNA) molecules are approximately 80 nucleotides in length. Their secondary structure includes four short double-helical elements and three loops (D, anti-codon, and T loops). Lineage: Eukaryota; Metazoa; Chordata; Mammalia; Carnivora; Ursidae. The record is from Rfam by way of RNAcentral.